Molecule: ribosomal RNA, 667 nt
Filed under: Streptococcus infantis
Lineage: Bacteria; Bacillati; Bacillota; Bacilli; Lactobacillales; Streptococcaceae
Description: partial 23S ribosomal RNA
Rfam family: Bacterial large subunit ribosomal RNA
Source: RNAcentral
GUGCGUAAUAGCUCACUGGUCGAGAGGUCCUGCGCCGAAAAUGUCCGGGGCUGAAACGCGCCACCGAAACUAAGGAAUCUGAAAAGAUUGGUAGAGGAGCAUUGCAUGCGGGAAGAAGCAGUACCGGAAGGAGCUGUGGACUGCAUGGAAGAGAGAAUGCCGGAAUGAGUAGCGAGAUAGAGGUGGGAAUCCUCUAGGCCGAAUAUCCAAGGUUUCCAGGGUAAAGCUGAUCUGCCCUGGGUGAGUCGGGACCUAAGGUGAGGGCGAGAGCCGUAGCCGAUGGACAACAGGUUGAUAUUCCUGUACUGCAGUAUGACAGAACUGUGGGGACACGUAAGGAGAGCGGGAGCCGGGAAUGGAAAGCCCGGUACAAGCGAGGUACCAGUAUGGUAGGAAAAUCCGCCAUGCAAUGGGAAGACGUGAUGUGGAGUGAAUUUUAGUAACGAAGCCCGUGAGCCAUGCGUCAAGAAAAGCCGCUAUCGUUCAUAUUGUACCCGUACCGUAAACCGACACAGGUGGAUGAGGAGAGAAUCCUAAGGCCGGCGGAAGAAGUAUUGCCAAGGAACUCGGCAAAAUGGCCCCGUAACUUAGGGAGAAGGGGUGCCUGCGAGAGCAGGCCGCAGAGAAUAGGCUCAAGCAACUGUUUAGCAAAAACACAGGUCUAUGC